This 21-nucleotide non-coding RNA is filed under the name Arabidopsis thaliana (thale cress). The record is from RNAcentral. Lineage: Eukaryota; Viridiplantae; Streptophyta; Magnoliopsida; Brassicales; Brassicaceae.
UAUAGAGUAUUCACCUCCUCC